AGGCAGCCUCUCCUGCAGCCCAGACUGUCAGACCUGGAUGGAGCUGGAUCAGCCAGGCAGACCCGGCCGGCACACAGUGGUACAUCAUCUCUAUGAAUGUUUAUGUGUCCGUCUCUCAAACCUGUACAUUUCCAAUGCAUAUGAAAAAAUAAUAAACAUUUGUGUGUGUGUGUGUGUGUGUGUGUGUGAUAUUCCUUUUUUCCCCACAGAAGCACAGACCGUGAAGCGUAUCGGCAGGCUGGUGAUGAGGCGAGUCUGUGUGCCAGAGCUGGACCAGAGGUUUUGUGACAUGGCUGAGACCUUCAAUGAACAGCAGGAGCGCUAUGAGUCCAUGGUCCGACACAUCAGAAACCUGCGACAGAUCUGCGGCUGCAACCACAAUGACAGCUUAGCUUUGGCUGAAUGUCUGGGGAGGAUCAGAGAGGAGCAUGAGGCCAAGUACAGGAUCUCCCUCAAGAUUAAGGGCUACGACUUCUCCCUCGAUGUGGUUCCUGUAGGGUUUGGUGGGGGAAGUGAAGAGGAACCGAUGCCUCCACAUCUGCGACUGGCUCAGGAUGAACUGAAGGGCACAUCUGAGAGUGCCAAGGCCACCAUCUCAAAGGGCACCACGCUUCAAGAGAUGAUUGGCUGGCUGCUCCGGAGCAAGGAUCCAAUGGCUGAGCAAGUGAAGGGGGCUGUGGCAACUUACCAGGAGCGAGGAAGACUUAAUGAGAACCUGGAGGAGAACAUGAAGGAAGCGAGGAGGGCGAAGGAGCUGUCUCUGGGAUACCGACAACAGGCCGGGGCCGUCCUCACUGAGGCUGCAGAGAUAGCAGGGGCCUCUCUGUAGCCCGUGAACAUUUUAAAUUCUCUGGCCAUUGCAGCAGCUUGUGUCCUGUUUGCUAGAAGAACAUGAAGACUUGCCGUCAUAUCUGCCUUUUAUAUGUUUUAUACCAUUUAAGAAAUAUAGCAGGGACUCUAACACUUAAAAAUAUAUUGUUUGUGUAAAGACUUAGAAGUAUUUUCCUUGACGGCUGUGCUUUUACAAGCUUACGUUAGGGGGCAGUGCACACUCACUUUACUAUUCUUACAGUUGCUCUUCAAUUCUUAUGGCUCAGAUUUUGUCUGUGUCGCUACAUGAAGAAGUAUUCCCUAAAUCCCCAAAUCAGGUAUUAAAAUGAUAACUGUGUCACUUUUUUAUUUAGAUUGUAUUUUGUAUUUGAUUAGACUCAUUACAUUUUUGCAACAGGCACAGAUUGUAGAAAGUAUGUAAAUAAGGAAGUAUAGAUAGAUAGAUAGAUAGAAUAAAAGUAUUCUGGUUUUACCUGCACUGGACAACACAUUUCAAAAAAGGACAGGAGAGGACACAGUUUCUUAUCGCAGCAUUGUGAGCUGGACUGGAGGUUUGUUGUGAUUGUGGGUGCAGUAUUAUUGUACCAUUCAGAGGAAGCAGAUUUGCUGCUUAUCGUCCACAGAGGCCCACGUUAACUGAUUACUAUCUGCAGCUUUCCAUCUGCUAUUAAUGUGAGAGCAAACAAACACGUGGUCAUAUGCCAUCUUGAUAAUUAAUUUUGGAAAAUCCAUUGUUCCAGGGGUCAUUGUCAAGUGGUCAUGCAUUAUUUAUCCAAGGGAGACAGUUUUAGAGCACUGCUCUUGCCUUAAGCUUAACAGAUUAAUUUGCAAUGAAGUGUGCUGGACACGGAGAGUGAAACCUGGGUGAGUUAUUCAUCUCAAAUGAAAAUAAAUCUGGAAAAUAGAACAAUUAAAAAAAGUCGUGGAAAAUUAUUGUGCAUUUUUGAUACAGGCAACCUUAAUUAUUUAUGUCUUAAUUACGUGUUAAAAUCGUAAAAAAUAUUGUUAUUUAUAAUAUUUAUAAUUAAAAUGUGUAU
Molecule: long non-coding RNA, 1868 nt
Organism: Sparus aurata (gilthead seabream)
Lineage: Eukaryota; Metazoa; Chordata; Actinopteri; Spariformes; Sparidae
Source: Ensembl